CGCAGCCGCGGUAAUUCCAGCUCCAAUAGCGUAUAUUAAAGUUGUUGCAGUUAAAAAGCUCGUAGUUGAAUUUCGGGGUCAGCAGGUCGGUCGUGCCUACGGUAUGCACUGGCCUUGCUGAUUCCUCCCUCUUGAUGAGCCGUAAUGCCAUUAAUUUGGUGUUGCGGGGAAUCAGGACUGUUACUUUGAAAAAAUUAGAGUGUUUAAAGCAGGCAAGCGCUUGAAUACAUUAGCAUGGAAUAAUGAAAUAGGACGUUCGAUCCUAUUUUGUUGGUUUCUAGGAUUGACGUAAUGAUUAAUAGGGAUAGUUGGGGGCAUUAGUAUUCAAUUGUCAGAGGUGAAAUUCUUGGAUUUAUUGAAGACUAACUACUGCGAAAGCAUUUGCCAAGGAUGUUUCAUUAAUCAAGAACGAAAGUUAGGGGAUCGAAGACGAUCAGAUACCGUCGUAGUCUUAACCAUAAACUAUGCCGACUAGGGAUCGGAUGAUGUUAAUUUUUAAUGACUCAUUCGGCGCCUUAAC
Molecule: ribosomal RNA, 520 nt
Filed under: uncultured Glomus
Lineage: Eukaryota; Fungi; Glomeromycota; Glomeromycetes; Glomerales; Glomeraceae
Description: SSU rRNA
Rfam family: Eukaryotic small subunit ribosomal RNA
Source: RNAcentral